GACGAACGCUGGCGGCGUGCUUAACACAUGCAAGUCGAACGCUGAAGCUCAGCUUUUGUUGGGUGGAUGAGUGGCGAGCGGGUGAGUAACACGUGAGUAACCUGCCCCCUUCUUUGGGAUAACGCCCGGAAACGGGUGCUAAUACUGGAUAUUCACUAGUCUUCGCAUGGGGGUUGGUGGAAAGGGUUUUUCUGGUGGGGGAUGGGCUCGCGGCCUAUCAGCUUGUUGGUGGGGUGAUGGCCUACCAAGGCUUUGACGGGUAGCCGGCCUGAGAGGGUGACCGGUCACAUUGGGACUGAGAUACGGCCCAGACUCCUACGGGAGGCAGCAGUGGGGAAUAUUGCACAAUGGGCGCAAGCCUGAUGCAGCGACGCCGCGUGAGGGAUGGAGGCCUUCGGGUUGUGAACCUCUUUCGCUCAUGGUCAAGCCGCAACAAUGGUUGUGGUGAGGGUAGUGGGUAAAGAAGCGCCGGCUAACUACGUG
Molecule: ribosomal RNA, 483 nt
Filed under: uncultured bacterium
Lineage: Bacteria
Description: partial 16S ribosomal RNA
Rfam family: Bacterial small subunit ribosomal RNA
Source: RNAcentral